GGGCCCGCACAAGCGGUGGAGCGUGUUGCUUAAUUCGAUGCAACGCGAAGAACCUUACCAGGGUUUGACAUCCUGCGAAUCUCUUGGAAACGAGAGAGUGCCUUCGGGAACGCAGUGACAGGUGGUGCAUGGCUGUCGUCAGCUCGUGUCGUGAGAUGUUGGGUUAAGUCCCGCAACGAGCGCAACCCACGUCUUUAGUUGCCAGCAUUUAGUUGGGCACUCUAGAGAGACCGCCGGUGAUAAACCGGAGAAGGUGUGGAUGACGUCAAGUCAUCAUGCCCCUUACAUCUGGGCUACACACGUACUACAAUGCUACGGACAAAGGGCAGCAAACUCGCGAGAGCUAGCAAAUCCCAUAAACGUGGCUC
Molecule: ribosomal RNA, 368 nt
Filed under: uncultured bacterium
Lineage: Bacteria
Description: bacterial SSU rRNA
Rfam family: Bacterial small subunit ribosomal RNA
Source: RNAcentral